AUGUGGGCACAGACAGACCCUUGGUUCUCGGAAUACCUCCUAGGGACCGGCAAUGGGACGGAAGAAACAAUUGGCGACGACUAUGUGCAUCUCCCUGAAGACAUUGUGAUUGCUUAUACCGACGAUGAUGAACCUAUUAACAAGCUUAUCGAAGAUGUCUUCCCAUCCCUUCACACCAAUGCUAGGUCGAGAGCGUACAUGAGCACACGUGCAAUUCUCUCGACCAAAAACGAGCAUGUGGAUGACCUGAAUGACAAGAUGAUCUCCAGGUUUCCGGGCGAAGAAAAGGAUAAUGCAAUCGAUGCAGAGAUUGUUGGUGGCCAGCAUGCUGGAAAGAGGGUGUUCAUACCUAGGAUCCCUAUGUCGCCCUCGGAGAACACCUCACUUCCC
RNAcentral lists this ribosomal RNA (390 nucleotides) under Triticum aestivum (bread wheat). RNAcentral describes it as "partial small subunit ribosomal RNA". Lineage: Eukaryota; Viridiplantae; Streptophyta; Magnoliopsida; Poales; Poaceae. The record is from RNAcentral.